This 495-nucleotide ribosomal RNA is filed under the name uncultured bacterium. RNAcentral describes it as "partial 16S ribosomal RNA". It matches the Rfam family "Bacterial small subunit ribosomal RNA", at positions 30 to 523 of the family's 1533-position model. The record is from RNAcentral.
AUUGAACGCUGGCGGCAGGCCUAACACAUGCAAGUCGAGCGCGAAAGUCUUCGGAUGAGUGAAGCGGCGGACGGGUGAGUAAUGCAUGGGAAUCUGCCUGGUAGUGGGGGACAACGUUUCGAAAGAGACGCUAAUACCGCAUACGCCCUACGGGGGAAAGGGGGGGAUCUUCGGACCUCUCGCUAUCAGAUGAGCCCAUGUCAGAUUAGCUAGUUGGUAGGGUAAAGGCCUACCAAGGCGACGAUCUGUAACUGGUCUGAGAGGAUGAUCAGUCACACUGGAACUGAGACACGGUCCAGACUCCUACGGGAGGCAGCAGUGGGGAAUAUUGGACAAUGGGGGAAACCCUGAUCCAGCCAUGCCGCGUGUGUGAAGAAGGCCCUAGGGUUGUAAAGCACUUUCAGUGGGGAGGAAGGUUAUUCACCUAAUACGUGAGUAAAUUGAUGCUACCCACAGAAGAAGCACCGGCUAACUCCGUGCCAGCAGCCGCGGUAA